RNAcentral lists this transfer RNA (72 nucleotides) under Ophiophagus hannah (king cobra). It matches the Rfam family "tRNA". Rfam says of the family: Transfer RNA (tRNA) molecules are approximately 80 nucleotides in length. Their secondary structure includes four short double-helical elements and three loops (D, anti-codon, and T loops). Further hydrogen bonds mediate the characteristic L-shaped molecular structure. tRNAs have two regions of fundamental functional importance: the anti-codon, which is responsible for specific mRNA codon recognition, and the 3' end, to which the tRNAs corresponding amino acid is attached (by aminoacyl-tRNA synthetases). tRNAs cope with the degeneracy of the genetic code in two manners: having more than one tRNA (with a specific anti-codon) for a particular amino acid; and 'wobble' base-pairing, i.e. permitting non-standard base-pairing at the 3rd anti-codon position. Lineage: Eukaryota; Metazoa; Chordata; Lepidosauria; Squamata; Elapidae. The record is from Rfam by way of RNAcentral.
GCCAAUGUGGUCUAGUGGUUAAGGCACUAGGCAAGAAACCAGGAAAGUUAAGUUCAAUUCUUGCCUUAGGCA